This 392-nucleotide ribosomal RNA is filed under the name uncultured bacterium. RNAcentral describes it as "bacterial SSU rRNA". It matches the Rfam family "Bacterial small subunit ribosomal RNA", at positions 39 to 454 of the family's 1533-position model. The record is from RNAcentral.
GAAUUCGAUUCAGGCCUAACACAUGCAAGUCGAACGAAGGCUUCGGCCUUAGUGGCGCACGGGUGCGUAACGCGUGGGAAUCUGCCCCUAGGUACGGAAUAACAGCGAGAAAUUGCUGCUAAUACCGUAUGAUGACGUAAGUCCAAAGAUUUAUCGCCUAGGGAUGAGCCCGCGUAGGAUUAGCUUGUUGGUGAGGUAAAAGCUCACCAAGGCGACGAUCCUUAGCUGGUCUGAGAGGAUGAUCAGCCACACUGGGACUGAGACACGGCCCAGACUCCUACGGGAGGCAGCAGUGGGGAAUAUUGGACAGGGGGCGAAAGCCUGAUCCAGCAAUGCCGCGUGAGUGAAGGGGGCCUUAGGGUUGUAAAGCUCUUUACCCGGGAAGAUAAUGA